UGUCUGCGCUGUCUGUAAAAGAUGAGAUCAGGUAUUAAAUGGUCACAGUGCUCUAAUAAGUCUGUGAUAUGAGUUUGACCUCUACAGUGAAGGCCACAUGACACAGGCAACACUGACUGCUGCUACGUGGGCGACUGAGAGAAAGAAUGCUGAAAACCAACCUUCUUCCCUGGAAAAACAGGGUUUCCUGGUUUUAGCUUAGGCAAUAGCUUAGGCUGUUGGCUGCAGCUGUGAUGGCUCCUCACAGCUGUGGCUGGGGAAGGAUGUCUGAGCCUCAGGAGGGCUGAGUAAGUUGGUGAAGCAGUCUGAUGGGGCUGGCUGCCAGAGUGGGAAGGGUGUGAAAAGAGGCAGCCCGGAGCAAAGGAAGGUGAUGUGAGCUGCUGGAGUUAUUUUAGUGCAAUACUUAACAGGGUGUUUCUUGGGAUUUUGUUCCACCUAUUGAGAGGAAAUGAUAAUUUGGGGAUUGAAUCUUGGCCAGUGGGAAACCCAGGUGGAGAGAGGGUUGGAGGCAAAGACCUAGGGUGUCAGUGUUUUGGGGCUCGGAGCUAAAUCUGUUGGCUAACCCCAAAAAGGAGAUCCCCAGCAAUGUAGAUAGAGUCCCUUGUCCUCUGAAUAAAUGCUGUAAGACUGAUUUUGAGGGGACCUGCAGUAUGCAUGACAAGAAAUAACUCAGCAUUUGUUGAAACAUUUUUUCCUUUCUAGAACAAAAAUUGCUUGACCUGGUACAGUUAAGAGUCUGUCUGAUGAUAAAAUUACUUCUGAGAAAAAAAGAAAAAAGUACAAAAUGAAGUUGUUGAAGAUUUCUUUUAUUGACUCUAAGUUACUUGUAGAACCAAACUAUAACUGGCUGUAGCUUCCUCUCUUCAGUGGGGGUCCUAUGUGGCCAGAACUCCACCUCUCAAGUUUAAACAGCCUCAGAGUGUUGCUUUUGCCUCACUUUCUGCAUGUAGCACAGGCAGGGAAUACAUAGCAAAGCUCAGACAUCACUGACUUGGGGCCCCAGAGAGUCCUUCCUACUGUUUUUUUUGCAGAGCUAAUUCAACCUCUUUGCAGAAAUUCUAAUGGUAUGAGAAGUCUACCUAUGAAGAUCACAUUCUGGAGAUGAUGACAGCAGCGGAGGAAAUAUGACAGCGUGCUCCAGGGAAGAAUAGGAUGACAUUUAUUCACAGAGGAAAGAACUGAGACAACAGGAUCUGAGGAACUGGUCUCAUCUAAGAGGUUUGGUAGCUGCUGAUAGAGA
Numida meleagris (helmeted guineafowl) is the source of this 1240-nucleotide long non-coding RNA. RefSeq lists it as uncharacterized. The transcript has 3 exons. The record is from RefSeq and is a predicted model, not a curated record. Lineage: Eukaryota; Metazoa; Chordata; Aves; Galliformes; Numididae.